GGGUCUGUAGCUCAGUUGGUUAGAGCACCGUCUUGAUAAGGCGGGGGUCGUUGGUUCGACUCCAACCAGACCCACCA
RNAcentral lists this transfer RNA (77 nucleotides) under Ramlibacter sp. Its description in RNAcentral is "tRNA-Ile". It matches the Rfam family "tRNA". From Rfam's summary of the family: Transfer RNA (tRNA) molecules are approximately 80 nucleotides in length. Their secondary structure includes four short double-helical elements and three loops (D, anti-codon, and T loops). Further hydrogen bonds mediate the characteristic L-shaped molecular structure. tRNAs have two regions of fundamental functional importance: the anti-codon, which is responsible for specific mRNA codon recognition, and the 3' end, to which the tRNAs corresponding amino acid is attached (by aminoacyl-tRNA synthetases). tRNAs cope with the degeneracy of the genetic code in two manners: having more than one tRNA (with a specific anti-codon) for a particular amino acid; and 'wobble' base-pairing, i.e. permitting non-standard base-pairing at the 3rd anti-codon position. Lineage: Bacteria; Pseudomonadati; Pseudomonadota; Betaproteobacteria; Burkholderiales; Comamonadaceae. The record is from RNAcentral. RNAcentral also lists the same sequence under 6 other names.